This 427-nucleotide ribosomal RNA is filed under the name uncultured bacterium. Its description in RNAcentral is "partial 16S ribosomal RNA". It matches the Rfam family "Bacterial small subunit ribosomal RNA", at positions 355 to 774 of the family's 1533-position model. The record is from RNAcentral.
UGGGGAAUAUUGGACAAUGGGCGAAAGCCUGAUCCAGCCAUGCCGCGUGUGUGAAGAAGGUCUUCGGAUUGUAAAGCACUUUAAGUUGGGAGGAAGGGCAUUAACCUAAUACGUUAGUGUUUUGACGUUACCGACAGAAUAAGCACCGGCUAACUCUGUGCCAGCAGCCGCGGUAAUACAGAGGGUGCAAGCGUUAAUCGGAAUUACUGGGCGUAAAGCGCGCGUAGGUGGUUUGUUAAGUUGGAUGUGAAAGCCCCGGGCUCAACCUGGGAACUGCAUCCAAAACUGGCAAGCUAGAGUACGGUAGAGGGUGGUGGAAUUUCCUGUGUAGCGGUGAAAUGGGUAGAUAUAGGAAGGAACACCAGUGGCGAAGGCGACCACCUGGACUGAUACUGACACUGAGGUGCGAAAGCGUGGGGAGCAAACA